RNAcentral lists this transfer RNA (61 nucleotides) under Ictidomys tridecemlineatus (thirteen-lined ground squirrel). RNAcentral's name for it is "Spermophilus tridecemlineatus (thirteen-lined ground squirrel) tRNA". It matches the Rfam family "tRNA", at positions 6 to 65 of the family's 71-position model. Rfam says of the family: Transfer RNA (tRNA) molecules are approximately 80 nucleotides in length. The record is from Rfam by way of RNAcentral. Lineage: Eukaryota; Metazoa; Chordata; Mammalia; Rodentia; Sciuridae.
UGUGGCUCAGUGGUAGAGCGCUCGCCUAACACGUGCGAGGCACUGGGUUCGAUUCUCAGCA